RNAcentral lists this ribosomal RNA (434 nucleotides) under uncultured Lachnospiraceae bacterium. Its description in RNAcentral is "bacterial SSU rRNA". It matches the Rfam family "Bacterial small subunit ribosomal RNA", at positions 341 to 792 of the family's 1533-position model. The record is from RNAcentral. Lineage: Bacteria; Bacillati; Bacillota; Clostridia; Lachnospirales; Lachnospiraceae.
ACGGAAGGCAGCAGUGGGGAAUAUUGCACAAUGGGGGAAACCCUGAUGCAGCGACGCCGCGUGAGUGAAGAAGUAUUUCGGUAUGUAAAGCUCUAUCAGCAGGGAAGAAAAUGACGGUACCUGACUAAGAAGCCCCGGCUAACUACGUGCCAGCAGCCGCGGUAAUACGUAGGGGGCAAGCGUUAUCCGGAUUUACUGGGUGUAAAGGGAGCGUAGACGGCAUGGCAAGUCUGAUGUGAAAGGUGGGGGCUCAACCCCCAAACUGCAUUGGAAACUGCCGGGCUGGAGUGCCGGAGAGGUAAGCGGAAUUCCUAGUGUAGCGGUGAAAUGCGUAGAUAUUAGGAGGAACACCAGUGGCGAAGGCGGCUUACUGGACGGUAACUGACGUUGAGGCUCGAAAGCGUGGGGAGCAAACAGGAUUAGAUACCCUGGUA